RNAcentral lists this ribosomal RNA (460 nucleotides) under uncultured bacterium. RNAcentral describes it as "partial 16S ribosomal RNA". It matches the Rfam family "Bacterial small subunit ribosomal RNA", at positions 338 to 795 of the family's 1533-position model. The record is from RNAcentral.
CCUACGGGAGGCAGCAGUGAGGAAUAUUGGUCAAUGGGCGUAAGCCUGACCCAGCCACGCCGCGUGAGGGAUGAAGGUUCUCUGGAUCGUAAACCUCUUUUAGAAGGGAAUAAAGUGUGGGACGUGUCCUAUUUUGUGUUUACCUUAUGAAUAAGGCUCGGCUAACUCCGUGCCAGCAGCCGCGGUAAUACGGAGGAUCCGAGCGUUAUCCGGAUCUAUUGUGUUUAAAGGGUGCGUAGGCGGCCUUUUAAGGUAGGGGUGAAAGUCUGUGGCUCAACCAUCGAAUUGCCGUUGAAACUGGGAGGCUUGAGUAUGUUUGAGGCAGGCGGAAUGCUUGGUGUAGCGGUGAAAUGCUUAGAUAUCGCGCAGAACCCCGAUUGUGAAGGCAGCCUGCCAGGCCAUGACUGACGCUGAUGCACGAAAGCGUGGGGAUCAAACAGGAUUAGAUACCCCAGUAGUC